Long non-coding RNA from Eucalyptus grandis, 1015 nucleotides. RefSeq lists it as uncharacterized. NCBI's taxonomy places the organism in Eukaryota, Viridiplantae, Streptophyta, Magnoliopsida, Myrtales, Myrtaceae. The record is from RefSeq and is a predicted model, not a curated record. The transcript has 2 exons.
UCCAUUGAAAAUCUAAGGAGACUAAAAGUCUUAAAUGUGGCAUACACAAAGAUACACACAAUACCCUAUGCUCUCGGAGGGGUAAAGACACUUGAAGAGCUCGAUGCCUCGUUUUGUCGGCAUCUCAUGGAUGAAAUACCGUGGGAAAUGUGGAACUUGACCUAUAUGAGGGUAUUGGAUUUAGAAUGGAGCCCAAUCUCUACAUUGCCAGGAAAGAUCAGUGCUUUCUCUAGUCUCCAAACACUUAAAAUUGCAAGCCACCGGCUUUCCCCAUUGCCAGAGCUUCCCUCAAGUUUGAAAUGUCUAGUGAUUGCAGAUGCCGAAUUCCCUGCUCUUCCCGAUCUAUCGCACUUGAAGAGGCUACUAAAAUUACAGCUCAGCGACUUCCCCAAUCUGGCGGAGAUUCCAGGUUUGGGGGAACUAGAAUCACUGGAGUCUUUGCACAUUACCAUGUGUGAUGUGAUCAAACAAUUGCCUAACUUAUCGAAGUUGAAAAAUCUACAGCAUCUCGAGCUAUGCCGUUGUAGGAAGUUGAGAGCCGUCGAAGGCUUGAAAGAACUGAAUAAUUUGGUAUAUGUGAAGAUAGAAAAUUGCAGGUCAAUGGAAAGGUUGCCCGAUGUGUCGACAUUACCAAGUUGGAGUUGGGUUUGGCAGAAGCUUUAAAACAAACCGUUCUCUCUACCGUGCAACUGAUUGAAGAAUAUCAUGACUGGUAUCAAACUGGUGCAGUAGAAAGAGCUGGCGGUUGAGAAGAGAGUUGGCGGCGAGUUACUCAAGAGUAUUGAGGACCUGGUCAUGGGAUAAUGCCAAACCUGCGGGCCCUGCACGUGGGAUAAAAGCCAAACUGGCGACACACAUUCACCACCGACAUGAACUAAUCCGAGUGUCUCUCAUGUCACUUCUUGAGCCAUCUAUUGUAUUUCUUGAUGGUGUUUUGAUUUAUAGGGUGCCAAAGUACGAGAAUGCAUCGUAUCUCUAAUUUACUCCCAUUAAUAUUCAGUGAUUAUUCCACGCA